RNAcentral lists this long non-coding RNA (1099 nucleotides) under Homo sapiens (human). RNAcentral describes it as "HSALNT0240990". The record is from RNAcentral. Lineage: Eukaryota; Metazoa; Chordata; Mammalia; Primates; Hominidae.
CCGAGAGGCAGAGGUUGCAGUGAGCCGACAUGAGGCCACUUCACUCCAGCCUAGGCAACAGAGUGAGACUCGGUAUCAAAAAAAACAAAAAAGAAAAAAUGUGAGCAGUUGGGAAGCAAUAAUAUGAAAAAUGAGAGCAAAAGUAACUGCAACAUUGGGGAAGACUAAACAACGUCGCUUCUGGCGUUGGCUUAUGGAUGACCACCCUGCUUUCUUCACGUUUUAACUGUCUGGAGUCCAGAAAUUAGCAAUGCACCUCCUUGGCAUAUCAGGAUGCCAACAAGCACCCUUGUCCCCAGUUUCAGGACUCGGCGGCGUACUUUCCCAAUACGCAUUCCCUUAUUCUCAAUCCGGUUAGAAGCAAAGAAGUAAUACCACCCACCAAUACUUUCCUUAUACAACACAAAAACACACACACACAUACACAACACCACAUAAUGAAACCAACGCGAAUGUAAGUAAAUCUGUUCUUUGUAAAACGUGUUUUGACCCUCUUUGGAAACACGGCAAUACCAAGUCGAUGCGCAGAGUGGAAAAAACCAGCUCCUAUUUCAUCUUUCUAUUCCAAAACCCCACUUAAAUAUAUCGUCCUCAGACCAAAAAAAAUCAGUUAUUCAACUGAAAAAAACAUGCUACAUUGGAUCUUAGUCAAAAAGCCAAAAAAGAAACAAGCCCUUUCUUUCGGCCACAGCACUCCUUCUCCCACUCAUCCUGAGGUCACGUAACCAUGAUCACGACCACAUUUGAGAAUCAGGGCUCUUUGCAGCUGGGGCAAUACUUCUGGAUCGGGAGCAACUUAUCAUGGAGGACCUGGUAUUAGAGGACACGUUGACAACAUAGAAUAAUACAGAUAAACUCCUACUUCUAGAAACCAAGAGGAGCAACAAAGCCAAAAUAUAUUAGAGGAAUUUGAAGAGGAAGAACUAUAAAGUCAGGAGGGGGAAAAUUGCCAGAAACAAUGGCUAACCAGUUGCCUCAGCAUCAUAUAUGGAGCAGCCCACCUUUUCAUCAGUCUGAGAUGCCACUUUUAUCAUAUAAUAAAGGCCUCAUAUAUACUUAGGUCUAUUUCUGAAACUUUCUUUUAAACAAAAGAGCCUUC